UACGAAGGGAGCUAGCGUUGUUCGGAAUCACUGGGCGUAAAGCGCACGUAGGCGGAUGUGUCAGUCAGGGGUGAAAUCCCGGAGCUCAACUUCGGAACUGCCCUUGAUACAGCACGUCUUGAGUCCGGAAGAGGUGGGUGGAAUUCCUAGUGUAGAGGUGAAAUUCGUAGAUAUUAGGAAGAACACCGGUGGCGAAGGCGGCCCACUGGUCCGGUACUGACGCUGAGGAGCGAAAGCGUGGGGAGCGAACAGG
RNAcentral lists this ribosomal RNA (253 nucleotides) under uncultured bacterium. Its description in RNAcentral is "partial 16S ribosomal RNA". It matches the Rfam family "Bacterial small subunit ribosomal RNA", at positions 524 to 776 of the family's 1533-position model. The record is from RNAcentral.